RNAcentral lists this ribosomal RNA (560 nucleotides) under Aspergillus flavus. RNAcentral's name for it is "eukaryotic LSU rRNA". The stretch from base 174 to 327 matches the Rfam family "5.8S ribosomal RNA". Lineage: Eukaryota; Fungi; Ascomycota; Eurotiomycetes; Eurotiales; Aspergillaceae. The record is from RNAcentral.
CUAAGGCCGGAGGGCCCAACCUCCCACCCGUGUUUACUGUACCUUAGUUGCUUCGGCGGGCCCGCCAUUCAUGGCCGCCGGGGGCUCUCAGCCCCGGGCCCGCGCCCGCCGGAGACACCACGAACUCUGUCUGAUCUAGUGAAGUCUGAGUUGAUUGUAUCGCAAUCAGUUAAAACUUUCAACAAUGGAUCUCUUGGUUCCGGCAUCGAUGAAGAACGCAGCGAAAUGCGAUAACUAGUGUGAAUUGCAGAAUUCCGUGAAUCAUCGAGUCUUUGAACGCACAUUGCGCCCCCUGGUAUUCCGGGGGGCAUGCCUGUCCGAGCGUCAUUGCUGCCCAUCAAGCACGGCUUGUGUGUUGGGUCGUCGUCCCCUCUCCGGGGGGGACGGGCCCCAAAGGCAGCGGCGGCACCGCGUCCGAUCCUCGAGCGUAUGGGGCUUUGUCACCCGCUCUGUAGGCCCGGCCGGCGCUUGCCGAACGCAAAUCAAUCUUUUCCAGGUUGACCUCGGAUCAGGUAGGGAUACCCGCUGAACUUAAGCAUAUCAAAGUCGGGGAGGAAAAG